GAGGAAGGCGGGCGGCGUGCUUAACACAUGCAAGUCGAACGGAAAGGCCCUGCUUGCAGGGUACUCGAGUGGCGAACGGGUGAGUAACACGUGGGUGAUCUGCCCUGCACUUCGGGAUAAGCCUGGGAAACUGGGUCUAAUACCGGAUAGGAGCCAUUUUUAGUGUGAUGGUUGGAAAGUUUUUUCGGUGUAGGAUGAGCUCGCGGCCUAUCAGCUUGUUGGUGGGGUAAUGGCCUACCAAGGCGGCGACGGGUAGCCGGCCUGAGAGGGUGGACGGCCAUAUUGGGACUGAGAUACGGCACAGACUCCGAAGGGAGGCAGAAGUGGGGAAUAUUGAACAAUGGGCGCAAGCCUGAUGCAGCGACGCCGCGUGGGGGAUGACGGCCUUAGGGUUGUAAACUCAUUUCGCUAGGGACGAAGCUUUUUGUGACGGUACCUAGAUAAGAAGCACCGGCUAACUACGUG
This 465-nucleotide ribosomal RNA is filed under the name uncultured bacterium. Its description in RNAcentral is "partial 16S ribosomal RNA". It matches the Rfam family "Bacterial small subunit ribosomal RNA", at positions 31 to 507 of the family's 1533-position model. The record is from RNAcentral.